RNA transcript from Cydia pomonella (codling moth), 1432 nucleotides. RefSeq lists it as uncharacterized. The record is from RefSeq and is a predicted model, not a curated record. The transcript has 2 exons. NCBI's taxonomy places the organism in Eukaryota, Metazoa, Arthropoda, Insecta, Lepidoptera, Tortricidae.
UCCAUGGGCGCUAGUAAUCGGUAAUCGCUUACGAUUCAUCUGUUCUUUUGCGUCCUAUAUUAUAUGUGUAGUGCGCCGUACCUACAUAACUUUAUAUCUUAUCAAAGUACGAUUAGCUGCGGUUGUGAUUAGGUAUCCUUUAUGCUUCAUUUAGUCAUCCAUUUUAUUUGUGAAGUGUUGAAAAUAACUUUCCCUAUGUCUAACGCAACGAAGAAAUAGUGAGUAAUGUAUAUUAUUAACGUAAAUUGUUAUUAGUUAGGUAUAAAUAUCAUUUAAUAUUUACCAGUUCCUCUUUGGUGAAGAAAACAAUCGUCAGGAAACCUUCAUAUUGUAUAUCAGUAAACAAAGUACUGUGAUAAAACAGCAGCGUGGUCCAAAAUUGAAGCUAAUAUUUUCUGUCACAAAGCUGUCAUCUGAUACUAAUGAUAUUGAGACAGAGUCUAUUACAUGUCAUGAGAAUUUGGCUCUGGUGAAAAUGUCAUUUAAGAGUUCUAGUUCAGGUCUCCAAAUAAAUAUGAAGAUAAAGAGAGACGAACAAGCAAACCAUUUACUUCCUGUGAAGAUAAUUUGUAAAGAAAAGGAAGGAGAGUUUUAUUGUUCUGAUGAAUGGUUAGAUAUUCCAAUUACAUCCAAAUCGGCUGAUUCUUAUAUUGUACAUGAGAAUCAGCCGACAUAUGCUGGAGGUUUUAGGGCAUAUGCAGUGUUGACAUUCGUGUUUGAGGUCAAUAUUAAAGUAACAUCAAUACCCAUAACGGCCACAACACCUGUGGCCUCAUUAGUGACCAAUCAACUUUUCGAGGAUGAGGAGUUUCCGGAUUUUCAACUGCAAGGAACAGAUGGCAAUGUGCCUGUUCACAAAUCCAUCCUGCUAAUUCACAGCGAUAUGGUUAAGACAAUGCUACGAGGUGGAAAAUGGGAGGAAAGCAAAAAUAGCUGCAUGAAAAUAAAUGGAGCUAAUGUGGAGACCCUUAAUCACCUGAAAGCCUACAUGUACUUAGGGAUUCUGCCCGAGGAGGGCCUAGAAUCCUUACUGCUGAUCGCUUCAUGCUACCUGAUGGAACAACUGAGGACUGAUUGCAUUGCAAAGGUGGUUAAUACAGUGAAACCCGGCGAUAUUGAAUGCCUUGUUAAAUUUGCAUGUGAAAACAAUAUGCCCGAUCUAGUUAUUGCCGUUACUACAAAUCUAAGAUAAUAUCGUAGAAAAUGAUUAUCAGUUAGAAAUUGGGACUCAGUUAUCAAAAUAUAACCGAUAAAUAAGUUUCUUGUUAAAACUGUGAUUAAUUACUAAGUGUGGGUAAGGUGUAAAUCAUUUUAUUACCCGAGUUAGGCAAAGGUCUCAGUUUCAGUUUGAGCAGAAGUUUGCGGUAACUUUGGUGGUUUAUAAUAAACUUAAUAAAAUAUACUUUCUUAGUACUAGUAGUAUCUAUCUACA